CCAGAUGACAUGUCACCAGAGGUGGGAAC
RNAcentral lists this non-coding RNA (29 nucleotides) under Rattus norvegicus (Norway rat). Lineage: Eukaryota; Metazoa; Chordata; Mammalia; Rodentia; Muridae. The record is from RNAcentral.